AUGCCAGGUGUACCGGCGGAAUUCGCCGAGCACAAGUUACAUGUCCGACCUGAUGCGAAGCCUGUCAGGCAGCCCUUGCGCCGCCUGUCAGAAGAGAAGAGAAGAGUUGUUGGAGAAGAGAUAGCCCGGCUCCUGGCGGCUGGCUUCAUUAUGGAAGUAUUUUUCCCAGAGUGGUUGGCAAAUCCAGUCCUGGUGUUGACGAAGAACAAGAAGUGGCGGAUGUGUAUUGACUACACAAGCCUCAGCAAAGCCUGCCCGAAGGACCCAUUUGCCCUGCCAAGAAUCGAUCAGGUGAUAGACUCCACAGCCGGAUGCGAGCUGUUGAGUUUCUUAGAUGCGUAUUCAGGAUAUCACUAG
RNAcentral lists this ribosomal RNA (357 nucleotides) under Triticum aestivum (bread wheat). Its description in RNAcentral is "partial small subunit ribosomal RNA". The record is from RNAcentral. Lineage: Eukaryota; Viridiplantae; Streptophyta; Magnoliopsida; Poales; Poaceae.